Molecule: ribosomal RNA, 407 nt
Filed under: Verrucomicrobiota bacterium
Lineage: Bacteria; Pseudomonadati; Verrucomicrobiota
Description: Verrucomicrobia bacterium partial 16S ribosomal RNA
Rfam family: Bacterial small subunit ribosomal RNA
Source: RNAcentral
UGGGGAAUAUUGGGCAAUGGGCGAAAGCCUGACCCAGCAACGCCGCGUGAAGUAUGAAGGCCUUCGGGUUGUAAACUUCUUUGAUCAGGGAAGAAACAAAUGACGGUACCUGAAAAACAAGCUACGGCUAACUACGUGCCAGCAGCCGCGGUAAUACGUAGGUGGCGAGCGUUAUCCGGAUUUACUGGGUGUAAAGGGCGUGCAGGCGGGCUGAUAAGUCAGAUGUGAAAUCCCCGAGCUUAACUCGGGAACUGCAUCUGAUACUGUUGGUCUUGAGUGCUGGAGAGGAUAGUGGAAUUCCUAGUGUAGCGGUAAAAUGCGCAGAUAUUAGGAGGAACACCAGUGGCGAAGGCGGCUAUCUGGACAGUAACUGACGCUGAGGCGCGAAAGCGUGGGUAGCAAACAGG